RNAcentral lists this long non-coding RNA (687 nucleotides) under Coffea arabica (coffee). RNAcentral describes it as "long non-coding RNA (CARA_LNC002628)". Lineage: Eukaryota; Viridiplantae; Streptophyta; Magnoliopsida; Gentianales; Rubiaceae. The record is from RNAcentral.
UUUCCCCUGAAAAGAAAACUUGUUUUAGAUACCCUGCUCCUUUCUUGAGCUUAAUUUCCAUUCUUGUGGUAUUUGCAGUUUCCAUGUGUUCAUUGUUUUUUAUAGUCUGAGAACCAUGAAUGACCACAUCCUGAGCAAUGGAGAUUGCGCUGGACGUGGCCAAGGUUAAUUUGAUUUACUAAUGAAAAUCACCUCUGCAGCUCUUGUGAAAUGUUAUGUACCAGGUAGACGUGGUCAUGUAGUUAAAGCAUUCCAUUUUCUAUUGAUUUAGCUUGAUAAAUCACAAUCGUAAAUUGACAUACAAAAGCUUCGUAAUUCAUUAGCUCCAAACAUGUCUUCAGGGCAUAGAUUGCGGUUAUUUUGUGAUGCUUCUGGGCAGGGAAUGCCAGACUUCUUGGCCUGGACUUAAUCAUUUGGUGGCAUUUAUGGAACAAGGAACAUGGCAGCCUCCAUGGUGCUAGGUCAUUGAGCUAAAAUGCAUCCGAUUCAAGUGCACUGACAUAAACUGUCCUUACAAGCAUGAUCAAGUCUGAAGAGGUAAAAGCCGACUACCAUCUUCCUAGAAGCCCGAGAUAGUGAUUUACCUUUCCCCUGGGAAGGGAAUGAUUAUGUCCUUCCUAGGAGGGGCUGUCUAGACUUGUAUCAUGAAGGGAAACCAUCACCUCACAUGGGAGAGGGAGGCCAAUA